This 292-nucleotide ribosomal RNA is filed under the name Staphylococcus aureus. RNAcentral's name for it is "partial 23S ribosomal RNA". It matches the Rfam family "Bacterial large subunit ribosomal RNA", at positions 1271 to 1559 of the family's 2925-position model. Lineage: Bacteria; Bacillati; Bacillota; Bacilli; Caryophanales; Staphylococcaceae. The record is from RNAcentral.
AUGUGGAGCGCUUAGAAGUGAGAAUGCCGGUGUGAGUAGCGAAAGACGGGUGAGAAUCCCGUCCACCGAUUGACUAAGGUUUCCAGAGGAAGGCUCGUCCGCUCUGGGUUAGUCGGGUCCUAAGCUGAGGCCGACAGGCGUAGGCGAUGGAUAACAGGUUGAUAUUCCUGUACCACCUAUAAUCGUUUUAAUCGAUGGGGGGACGCAGUAGGAUAGGCGAAGCGUGCGAUUGGAUUGCACGUCUAAGCAGUAAGGCUGAGUAUUAGGCAAAUCCGGUACUCGUUAAGGCUGA